Molecule: long non-coding RNA, 3098 nt
Filed under: Homo sapiens (human)
Lineage: Eukaryota; Metazoa; Chordata; Mammalia; Primates; Hominidae
Description: HSALNT0189813
Rfam family: tRNA (bases 44-103)
Source: RNAcentral
GCGGACCCCUUCUGUAAGCGCGCGAUAAAGCGCGGUUUUGGAAGUCACGGUGGCCGAGUGGUUAAGGCGUUGGACUCGAAAUCCAAUGGGGUUUCCCCGCACAGGUCUGAUUACACCGAAGACCCAGGAAACAGGAUUCUCUCAUCUGGAUUUCCUUGAGGUGUACAGGGCUAGAAGGGAGUAGUCUAUUGAAACAUCAUUGCAGAUCCAGUUAGAGCCAAGGUUCUCAUAUUUAAAUAUCUGGAGAGCCAAGACCAGAAUUGACCAGCAGAGGGCAACCAACAACUAUGUUGUGAAGGGAAGAAGGCUCCAUGGUUUACAAAAUGGAGGAUCUGGACCAAGAAGGGAAAUAUGGCAGAGGUAGUUUGCUACUUGAAGUUCAUCCCUUUUACUCUCAAAUGCUUCUCUUGUAACUUUUGUGGGUGAGAGGCCGAGGCUUCAAACCUUCAUAUACAAUAGAUCAUUUUAAAUUUCUACCAUCCCCAUGUACCCACCCCAUCUCCCCAAUUCCUUCACCCUUCCUCUUCCACUCCAACAAAUCCUAACUAUUCUUUUACCUUUCUUUACCUUGCAUGAUCUGGCCCCCUCUCUCUCACCAUUCUUACAUAUUUACAUAUCACCCACUGGCAUUCUUUAGUUCCUGCUACAGUAUGUGGCCUUCCAUAUUUUCCCUGAAGUAACCUUCUCCACUUAAGCCUGUAGUCCCACUCAUUUAAACCUCCUAAGGAACCUUCCAUAAAUAUCCUUCCAUAACACCUUAAAAUUCCUCUACUCCACUGGAUCAAUCCUUCAUGAAUUCAGUACAAACAAAACCCCACCUUCAUUUGACACUUUCAAAUUUCCACAUUGUUUUCUACUUCCUUUUAUUUUUCGAAUAAAAUGUAUACCUUUCUGCCUCCAGUUCCAUACUAUCAGAUACCCCGUCAUCUGGUUUCUGCCUCCUGAAGUGUUUUGGUUUUUUUUUCUUUUUUACUUUUUUACUUUUUAUUUUUUUUUGAGACAGAGUCUUGCUCUCUCACCUAGGCUGGAGUGCAGUGGCACAAGCUCGGCUCACUGCAACCACCACCUCCCAGGUUCAAGCAAUUCUCCUGCCUCAGCCUCCCAAGUAGCUGGUAUUACAGGUCCCUGUCACCAUGCGCCUGGCUAAUUUUUUUUUUUUGUAUUUUUAGUAGGGACGGGGUUUUGCUAUGUUGACCAGGCUGGUUUUGAACUCCUGACCUCAAGUGAUCCACCUGCCUCAGCCUCCCCAAGUGCUGAGAUUACAGGUGUGAGCCACCGCGCCCGGCCUCCUGAAGUUUUUUAGACGUUAAUAGAAACCACUGGACAAAUUUAAUAAUCUCUUCUCAGUCUCCAUCCUUUCUGUGUUUGAAACAACAUUGAUUUCUUACUGGCCUUCAGAAACACUUAUUGUUUUUCUCCUUCUCAGUAUACUGCUUCUCCACCUCAUUUGCUUUCUUCUUCCUCCUGUGGAAUUUCCACCAAAGCUUCAUUCUCCCGAGACAAAAUCUCAGAGCCACCUUUCCAGGUAUGUCCUCAGCUAAACCAUGGUCCUUUAUCUCCAGCUGUUCACAUCUCUGCACAGCUGACCUAGUGUCACCUAAUAUGCAAACAAAGCUUCUCUUCCUCUCUCACAAUCAUCGUUCUGAACUUUUCCCACUUUUGUUGAUACCACUAUUCACUCAAUUCCUUCAUUUCCAGCUCUAAGAAUUAAUUAUCUGAAGUUUGUUUUCUCCCAAGCCCAUCACACUGAUUCAUCAGUUGCUUCCCCAAGCACAUCAUCUUAAUUCAUGCCUGUUACGAUGGCCUUCAAGGUGCCCUAGUUUCACCACACUGAAAUCCACCCUAUAUUAGUGUGAUUACACUGCUUUCAUCAUAUUAUUCCCCUGUCCAGGAACUCAGUUCCCCAUCUAAACAAACACAUGAUCCUAUUAUCAACAUACCCUGCCUAAAUUGCCCGUUUUUCUUACCCUUACAUCUUUCCACUAAGAUACCUUCCAUCUAAUCUGGCUGGUCAUCUCCGUGUGACAGCCCAACCCCUGCCAUCCCUCAUGAAGUUCCUUCUCUUUACUAACUAGGUAGUCUCACCAUAUAAUGAUCUUUUCAGCAAUAAAUUCUUAGAUCUUAAAAGUAUUAUUAUUUUGCCUGGACACGGUGGCUCACGCCUGUAAUUCCAGCACUUUGGGAGGCCGAGGCGGGUGGAUCACCUGAGGUCAGGAGUUUGAGACCAGCCUGGCCAACAUGGUGAAACCCCGUCUCUACUAAAAAUAAAAAAAUUAUCCGGGCAUAGUGGCGCAUGCCUGUAAUCCUAGCUACUCAGGAGGCUGGGGCACGAGAAUCGCUUGAACCCCGGAGGCAGAGGUUGCAGUGAGCCGUGAUCGCACCACUGCACUCCAGCCUGGGCGACAGAGUGAGACUUUGUCUCAAAAAAAAAAUUAGUCUCACUUUGUCGCCCAGGCUGGAGUGCAGUGGUGCGAUCAUGGCUCACUGUAUAACCUCUGCCUCCCAGGGUCAAGGGAUUCUCCUGCCUCAGCCUCCCGAGUAGCUAGGAUUAUAGGCGCACGCCACCACACCGCCUUAUUUUUGCAUUGUAGAGACAGGAUUUUACCAUGCUGCCAGGCUGGUCAUGAACUCCUGACCUCAAGUGAUCCUCUCACCUCGGCUUCCCAAAGUGCUGGGAUUACAGGCAUGAGCCACUGGGCCUGGACUUAAAAUUAUUUUUAUGUAACUAACUUUUUUUUUUUUUUUGAGACAGAGUCUCACUCUGUCUCCAGGCUGGAGUGCCGUGGCGCCAUCUCGGCUCACUGCAACCUCCGCCUCCUGGAUUCAAGUGAUUCUCCUGUCUCAGCCUCCGGAGUAGCUGGGACUAUAGGCACAUGCUACCACGCCCAGCUAAUUUUUGUAUUUUUAGUAGAGAUGAGGUUUUACCAUGUUGGCCAGGAUGGUCUCACUCUCUUAACCUCGUGAUCCACCUGCCUUGGCCUCCCAAAGUGCUGGGAUUACAGGCGUGAGCCACCGCACCGGCUGGUAAUGUUUUCUUUUUUUUUUUUGAGACAGAGUCUUGCUCUGUCACCCAGGCUGGAGUGCAGUGGCGCGAUCUU